This 511-nucleotide ribosomal RNA is filed under the name uncultured bacterium. RNAcentral's name for it is "bacterial SSU rRNA". It matches the Rfam family "Bacterial small subunit ribosomal RNA", at positions 29 to 518 of the family's 1533-position model. The record is from RNAcentral.
ACGAACGCUGGCGGCGUGCCUAACACAUGCAAGUCAACGGGGAUUUGUUUCGGCAGAAUCCUAGUGGCGAACGGGUGAGUAACGCGUAGGCAACCUGCCCUCCGGCCGGGGGACAACACUCCGAAAGGGGUGCUAAUACCGGAUACGAAGUCUGUGCCGCAUGGUACGGAUUUGAAAGAUGGCCUCUAUUUAUAAGCUAUCGCCGGGGGAUGGGCCUGCGUCCGAUUAGCUGGUUGGUGGGGUAACGGCCUACCAAGGCGACGAUCGGUAGCCGGUCUGAGAGGAUGAACGGCCACAUUGGGACUGAGACACGGCCCAGACUCCUACGGGAGGCAGCAGUGGGGAAUCUUCCGCAAUGGGCGCAAGCCUGACGGAGCAACGCCGCGUGAGUGAGGAAGUUCUUCGGAACGUAAAGCUCUGUUGUUCCUGACGAACCUCCCCUCUAUCAACAACGGAGGGGACUGACGGUAGGGAACGAGGAAGCCACGGCUAACUACGUGCCAGCCGCCGC